RNAcentral lists this transfer-messenger RNA (352 nucleotides) under Sphingobium subterraneum. Its description in RNAcentral is "Sphingomonas sp. S-II-13 Alphaproteobacteria transfer-messenger RNA". It matches the Rfam family "Alphaproteobacteria transfer-messenger RNA". Rfam says of the family: Bacterial tmRNA, also known as 10Sa RNA or SsrA, is named for its dual tRNA and mRNA-like properties. Its role is to liberate the mRNA from a stalled ribosome. The record is from Rfam by way of RNAcentral. Lineage: Bacteria; Pseudomonadati; Pseudomonadota; Alphaproteobacteria; Sphingomonadales; Sphingobiaceae.
GCCCUUCCUUUUGGGCAGUCGUGCGCCUAUAUCGGGAGUGUCGGCGCAAGCCGACUAUGGUGAUAAACGGUGGCGUGAAAUAGACGCAGCGGACCCGGGGGCGGUACCCGGCGGCUCCACCACAGGCAGCGAUACAGAAAUGUGCCGAUGUCCGUGACGGGGCCGAACUAGGAUCGACGUGUGUUCAAAGACGACAUUUUUGCCCGGGCUGAGUAACCCGUUCAAGGCUCAAAACCCAAUAAGUGCCAACGAUAACGAAGCACUUGCUCUUGCAGCGUAAUUGAGGGGCGCAAGCCCUGACAUUAUCCUAAUAGAACGCGGCUGAACCCGCCGGGCAACAGAAGGGAAUUCA